RNAcentral lists this ribosomal RNA (444 nucleotides) under uncultured bacterium. Its description in RNAcentral is "bacterial SSU rRNA". It matches the Rfam family "Bacterial small subunit ribosomal RNA", at positions 338 to 795 of the family's 1533-position model. The record is from RNAcentral.
CCUACGGGAGGCUGCAGUGAGGAAUCUUCCGCAAUGGGGGAAACCCUGACGGAGCGACACCGCGUGAAGGAUGACACCCUAACCGGGCGUAAACUUCUGUUCUGAGGGACGAAAUUUUUGACGGUACCUCAGGAGAAAGCACUGGCUAAUUCCGUGCCAGCAGCCGCGGUAAGACGGAAGGUGCAAGCGUUACUCGGAAUUACUGGGCGUAAAGGGUCCGCAGGCGUCCUGUGAAGUCUGAUGUAAAAGCACGGAGCUCAACUCCGUGUCCGUGUCGGAAACUUACAGGAUUGAGUCAUACAGAGGCAUCUGGAAUACCAUGUGUAGGGGUAAAAUCCGUUGAUCCAUGGUAGAACGCCAAAAGCGAAGGCAAGAUGCUGGGUAUGUACUGACGCUCAGGGACGAAAGCGUGGGUAGCGGGCGGGAUUAGAUACCCCGGUAGUC